GGGGGUAUAGCUCAGUUGAGAGCACCUGCUUUGCAAGCAGGGGUCAAGGGUUCGAAUCCCUUUAUCUCCACCA
RNAcentral lists this transfer RNA (73 nucleotides) under Subdoligranulum sp. RNAcentral's name for it is "tRNA-Ala". It matches the Rfam family "tRNA". From Rfam's summary of the family: Transfer RNA (tRNA) molecules are approximately 80 nucleotides in length. Their secondary structure includes four short double-helical elements and three loops (D, anti-codon, and T loops). Further hydrogen bonds mediate the characteristic L-shaped molecular structure. tRNAs have two regions of fundamental functional importance: the anti-codon, which is responsible for specific mRNA codon recognition, and the 3' end, to which the tRNAs corresponding amino acid is attached (by aminoacyl-tRNA synthetases). tRNAs cope with the degeneracy of the genetic code in two manners: having more than one tRNA (with a specific anti-codon) for a particular amino acid; and 'wobble' base-pairing, i.e. permitting non-standard base-pairing at the 3rd anti-codon position. Lineage: Bacteria; Bacillati; Bacillota; Clostridia; Eubacteriales; Oscillospiraceae. The record is from RNAcentral.